Molecule: ribosomal RNA, 253 nt
Filed under: uncultured bacterium
Lineage: Bacteria
Description: partial 16S ribosomal RNA
Rfam family: Bacterial small subunit ribosomal RNA
Source: RNAcentral
UACGUAGGCAGCGAGCGUUGUUCGGAGUUACUGGGCGUAAAGAGUGCGUAGGCGGUUUUCUAAGUUUGGUGUGAAAUCUCCCGGCUUAACUGGGAGGGUGCGCCGAAAACUGGAAGGCUUGAGUAUGGGAGCGGUAAGCGGAAUUCCUGGUGUAGCGGUGAGAUGCGUAGAUAUCAGGAGGAACACCUGCGGUGUAGACGGCUUACUGGACCAUAACUGACGCUGAGGCACGAAAGCGUGGGUAGCAAACAGG